This 124-nucleotide non-coding RNA is filed under the name Macleaya cordata. Lineage: Eukaryota; Viridiplantae; Streptophyta; Magnoliopsida; Ranunculales; Papaveraceae. The record is from RNAcentral.
GUGUUCGUUGAACGGAGAGACGGUUGGCAUCUCCCCUGACAGGGACGGGAUAAGCCUUCGGGCUUACCUGUCAUCACACAUCGGUUAAGGCUUACCACUUCAGUGGAUCCGACCAAAUUUUUUU